This 27-nucleotide small RNA is filed under the name Bombyx mori (domestic silkworm). RNAcentral's name for it is "piRNA piR-bmo-2102652". Lineage: Eukaryota; Metazoa; Arthropoda; Insecta; Lepidoptera; Bombycidae. The record is from RNAcentral.
UACUUGGAGGCCGAUGCUGGCAUUAUC